RNAcentral lists this transfer RNA (72 nucleotides) under Phrynosoma platyrhinos (Desert horned lizard). Its description in RNAcentral is "tRNA-OTHER". The record is from RNAcentral. Lineage: Eukaryota; Metazoa; Chordata; Lepidosauria; Squamata; Phrynosomatidae.
GCCAGCAUGGUGUAAUGGUUUGAGCAUUGGAUUAUGACUCAGGAGACCAGGGUUCGAUUCCCUGCAUGGCCA